GACGAACGCUGGCGGCGUGCCUAAUACAUGCAAGUCGAGCGAAGUUUUUCUGGUGCUUGCACCGGAAAAACUUAGCGGCGAACGGGUGAGUAACACGUAAAGAACCUGCCUCAUAGACUGGGACAACUAUUGGAAACGAUAGCUAAUACCGGAUAACAGCAUUAACUGCAUGGUUGAUGUUUAAAAGUUGGUUUUGCUAACACUAUGAGAUGGCUUUGCGGUGCAUUAGCUAGUUGGUGGGGUAAAGGCCUACCAAGGCGACGAUGCAUAGCCGACCUGAGAGGGUGAUCGGCCACACUGAGACUGAGACACGGCCCAGACUCCUACGGGAGGCAGCAGUAGGGAAUCUUCCGCAAAGGGCGAAAGCCUGACGGAGCAACGCCGCGUGAGUGAAGAAGGAUUUCGGUUCGUAAAGCUCUGUUGUUAGGGAAGAAUGAUUGUGUAGUAACUAUACACAGUAGAGACGGUACCUAACCAGAAAGCCACGGCUAACUACGUG
Molecule: ribosomal RNA, 499 nt
Filed under: uncultured bacterium
Lineage: Bacteria
Description: partial 16S ribosomal RNA
Rfam family: Bacterial small subunit ribosomal RNA
Source: RNAcentral